CCUACGGGUGGCAGCAGUGGGGAAUAUUGCACAAUGGGGGAAACCCUGAUGCAGCGACGCCGCGUGAGUGAAGAAGUAAUUCGUUAUGUAAAGCUCUAUCAGCAGGGAAGAAAAUGACGGUACCUGUGUAAGAAGCCCCGGCUAACUACGUGCCAGCAGCCGCGGUAAUACGUAGGGGGCAAGCGUUAUCCGGAUUUACUGGGUGUAAAGGGAGUGUAGACGGCUGUGCAAGUCUGGAGUGAAAGGCGGGGGGUCAACCCCCGGACUGCUCUGGAAACUGUACGGCUGGAGUGCAGGAGAGGUAAGUGGAAUUCCUGGUGUAGCGGUGAAAUGCGUAGAUAUUAGGAGGAACACCGGUGGCGAAGGCGGCUUACUGGACUGUAACUGACGUUGAGGCUCGAAAGCGUGGGGAGCAAACAGGAUUAGAUACCCGAGUAGUC
Molecule: ribosomal RNA, 440 nt
Filed under: uncultured bacterium
Lineage: Bacteria
Description: partial 16S ribosomal RNA
Rfam family: Bacterial small subunit ribosomal RNA
Source: RNAcentral